CAAGCGUUGUCCGGAUUUACUGGGCGUACAGCGCGCGCAGGCGGCCCGCAAGGUGCUCUGUGACAGUCGGGGGCUCAACCCCCGCCGGCCAGGGUAGACGCACGACCUGGAGGCAGGGAGAGGGAUGUGGAAUGCCCGGUGGAGCGGUGAAAUGCGUAGAGAUCGGGCGGAACACCAGCGGCGAAGGCGGCAUCCUGGCCCUGACCUGACGCUGAGGCGCGAUAGCGUGGGGAGCAAACGGGAUUAGAUACCCGGGUAGUCCC
RNAcentral lists this ribosomal RNA (263 nucleotides) under Staphylococcus warneri. RNAcentral's name for it is "partial 16S ribosomal RNA". It matches the Rfam family "Bacterial small subunit ribosomal RNA", at positions 535 to 797 of the family's 1533-position model. Lineage: Bacteria; Bacillati; Bacillota; Bacilli; Caryophanales; Staphylococcaceae. The record is from RNAcentral.